Molecule: ribosomal RNA, 449 nt
Filed under: uncultured bacterium
Lineage: Bacteria
Description: bacterial SSU rRNA
Rfam family: Bacterial small subunit ribosomal RNA
Source: RNAcentral
GUCCAGACUCCUACGGGAGGCAGCAGUGGGGAAUAUUGCACAAUGGGGGAAACCCUGAUGCAGCGACGCCGCGUGAGUGAAGAAGUAUUUCGGUAUGUAAAGCUCUAUCAGCAGGGAAGAUAAUGACGGUACCUGAGUAAGAAGCCCCGGCUAACUACGUGCCAGCAGCCGCGGUAAUACGUAGGGGGCAAGCGUUAUCCGGAUUUACUGGGUGUAAAGGGAGCGUAGACGGCAUGGCAAGUCUGAAGUGAAAGCCCGGGGGUCAACCGCGGGACUGCUUUGGAAACUGUUAAGCUGGAGUGCAGGAGAGGUAAGUGGAAUUCCUAGUGUAGCGGUGAAAUGCGUAGAUAUUAGGAGGAACACCAGUGGCGAAGGCGGCUUACUGGACGGUAACUGACGUUGAGGCUCGAAAGCGUGGGGAGCAAACAGGAUUAGAUACCCCGGUAGAC